This 325-nucleotide unclassified non-coding RNA is filed under the name soil metagenome. Its description in RNAcentral is "partial contains 5.8S ribosomal RNA, internal transcribed spacer 2, and large subunit ribosomal RNA". The stretch from base 1 to 120 matches the Rfam family "5.8S ribosomal RNA", at positions 35 to 154 of the family's 154-position model. The record is from RNAcentral.
GAUGAAGAACGCAGCGAAAUGCGAUAAGUAAUGUGAAUUGCAGAAUUCAGUGAAUCAUCGAAUCUUUGAACGCACAUUGCGCCCCCUGGUAUUCCGGGGGGCAUGCCUGUCCGAGCGUCAUUACAACCCUCAAGCUCAGCUUGGUGUUGGGCCCCGCCGCCCCGGCGGGCCCUAAAGUCAGUGGCGGUGCCGUCCGGCUCCGAGCGUAGUAAUUCUUCUCGCUCUGGAGGUCCGGUCGUGUGCUCGCCAGCAACCCCCAAUUUUUUUCAGGUUGACCUCGGAUCAGGUAGGGAUACCCGCUGAACUUAAGCAUAUCAACGGAGGA